UGGCGCGUAGCUCAGCGGUGAGAGCGGCGUCCUUAUAAGACGCAGGUCGAGGGUUCAACUCCCUCCGCGCCGA
Molecule: transfer RNA, 73 nt
Filed under: Planctomycetota bacterium
Lineage: Bacteria; Pseudomonadati; Planctomycetota
Description: Planctomycetes bacterium tRNA-Ile
Rfam family: tRNA
About the family: Transfer RNA (tRNA) molecules are approximately 80 nucleotides in length. Their secondary structure includes four short double-helical elements and three loops (D, anti-codon, and T loops).
Source: RNAcentral